AUGUUUGUGCAAAACUCUGUCAGAACAUUACACAGGAAUAGGCAAAACGCUUUGUUGUUCAAACUCGACAUCGCCAGAGCUUUUGAUUCCAUCUCUUGGGAUUAUUUGUUAGAGCUACUGCAGAAGCUCGGCUUCAGCACUCGAUGGCGCGGAUGGGUUGCAAUUUUGCUGUCAACAUCUUCCUCAGCCUACCUUCUAAAUGGAACGACCGGAGAGCAAUUCUUCCAUAGGAGAGGCCUGCGUCAGGGUGACCCACUCUCCCCACUAUUGUUCAUAUUGGCGAUUGACCCAUUGCACAGACUGCUGGAAACUGCUGCUGAAGAUGGAGCGUUGGCACCCUUACCAGGGAAGCUCGCGGUGCUUCGGGUCAGUCUAUGUGCGGAUGAUGCUGUGAUCUUUGCAAACCCGGUGAAAUCGGAGGUGGACUCACUACUGCAUCUCUUGGAGAUGUUCGGUGAAGAGACACGACUGAGGAUAAACCACGGAAAGUCCACGGUGGCCGCCAUCUGGUGUGAUCAGUUAAACCUCACGGAGAUCUUGCAAAAUUUUGGAGUAAAUCAAGCUACCUUCCCACUCAAGUAUCUAGGCCUUCCGGUCAGUUUAGCGCGACUGCGGAUGGUGCAGUUGUAG
Molecule: ribosomal RNA, 630 nt
Filed under: Triticum aestivum (bread wheat)
Lineage: Eukaryota; Viridiplantae; Streptophyta; Magnoliopsida; Poales; Poaceae
Description: partial small subunit ribosomal RNA
Source: RNAcentral